Molecule: ribosomal RNA, 253 nt
Filed under: uncultured bacterium
Lineage: Bacteria
Description: partial 16S ribosomal RNA
Rfam family: Bacterial small subunit ribosomal RNA
Source: RNAcentral
UACGUAGGGUGCGAGCGUUAAUCGGAAUUACUGGGCGUAAAGCGUGCGCAGGCGGUUCGCUGUGUCCGAUGUGAAAGCCCCGGGCUUAACCUGGGAAUUGCAUCUGUGACUGCAUCGCUAGAGUACGGUAGAGGGGGAUGGAAUUCCGCGUGUAGCAGUGAAAUGCGUAGAUAUGCGGAGGAACACCGAUGGCGAAGGCAAUCCCCUGGACCUGUACUGACGCUCAUGCACGAAAGCGUGGGGAGCAAACAGG